Molecule: transfer RNA, 61 nt
Filed under: Iridona iridescens
Lineage: Eukaryota; Metazoa; Mollusca; Bivalvia; Cardiida; Tellinidae
Description: Moerella iridescens tRNA-Cys
Source: RNAcentral
GGUCUUGUAGUUUAUAAAAAUAUUAAGUUGCAGCCUUAAAGUAGAGGUUUCUCCAGGACUU